CCUACGGGUGGCUGCAGUAGGGAAUCUUUCACAAUGGGCGAAAGCCUGAUGGAGCAACGCCGCGUGCAGGAUGAAGGCCUUCGGGUUGUAAACAGCUUGUAUAAGCGAGAAAUAUGAUGGUAACUUAUGAAUAAGGAUCGGCUAACUACGGGGCAGCAGCCGCGGUCAUACGUAGGAUACGAGCAUUAUCCGGAUUGACUGGGUGUAAAGAGUUGCGUAGGUGGCAUAGUAAGUAGCUAGUGAAAUCUGGGGGCUCAACCAUUCAGACUAUUAGCUAAACUGCUAAGCUCGAGACCGUUAGGGGUAACUGGAAGUUCUAGUGUAGGAGUGAAAUCCGUAGAUAUUAGAAGGAACACCGAUAGCGUAGGCAGGUUACUGGGACGGUUCUGACACUAAGGCACGAAAGCGUAGGGAGCAAACGGGAUUAGAUACCCGAGUAGUC
Molecule: ribosomal RNA, 442 nt
Filed under: uncultured bacterium
Lineage: Bacteria
Description: partial 16S ribosomal RNA
Rfam family: Bacterial small subunit ribosomal RNA
Source: RNAcentral